This 80-nucleotide ribosomal RNA is filed under the name Aegilops tauschii subsp. strangulata. The record is from RNAcentral. Lineage: Eukaryota; Viridiplantae; Streptophyta; Magnoliopsida; Poales; Poaceae.
GGAUGCGCUCAUACCAGCACAAAAGCACCGGAUCCCAUCAGAACUCUGAAGUUUACUGGGAAGUCCUUGUGUUGCAUUCC